GACCACUCCGGUGGCCGAUUGGUUCGAGCGUCCGCCUCGGAUGCGGAAAGUCGCGGUUUCGAAUCCCGGCCGAGUCA
This is a non-coding RNA of Potamilus streckersoni, 77 nucleotides long. NCBI's taxonomy places the organism in Eukaryota, Metazoa, Mollusca, Bivalvia, Unionida, Unionidae. The record is from the annotation of a GenBank genome assembly.